CACGAAUGCUUUUAUACUACUACUUCAAUUUUUAACCUUUCACCUUUGUGAAAGAUGCUUGUAAGUUAUUGUUCCUAUAUUAGUCUUCAUACGAUACAUGUGUUUACACUUUGGUUUGAUUUAAUUCGAUUGGGGACAAGAGUCCACAGGCUGGGCUUCAUGUUAUCAUGUGUCACCUUGCGAUGUCUCUCCUCCACAUUCCUUUCUCCGUUCUCUCCUCUAAUAAUAAAGAAGAAAAAAAUUAUGAUAACAACAAUAAAAACAAACUGAAAUUCGGAGGCAAGGAGAGAGAGAGAGAGAUAUCACAUCCAUCCCUCAUUCCUGUCCCUCACAGUAAUUUCAUAAAGUAUUCUUUGCAAGAAGACAUUAACCAUAAUAAUUCAAUAUAAGCAUUAAUCAAAAGCAAAUAACAUAGUAAGGUAUUGAAUGUUUUAUAAAAACCAAAGAAGCUGUAACAAAAGAAUGUGAAUUCAAUGAAAAUGCCAUUUUAUAACAUUCAUAGAAAAUUAAGUAUCACUAUUUGUCUACU
Molecule: long non-coding RNA, 529 nt
Filed under: Androctonus crassicauda
Lineage: Eukaryota; Metazoa; Arthropoda; Arachnida; Scorpiones; Buthidae
Source: RNAcentral